This 519-nucleotide ribosomal RNA is filed under the name Faronus parallelus. RNAcentral describes it as "partial 16S ribosomal RNA". Lineage: Eukaryota; Metazoa; Arthropoda; Insecta; Coleoptera; Staphylinidae. The record is from RNAcentral.
GAUCAUGUAAGAUUUUAAAGGUCGAACAGACCUAAAAUUAUAACUUCUACAUUAUAAUUUAAUCUUAAUCCAACAUCGAGGUCGCAAUCUUUAAUUUCGAUAAGAACUCUUAAAUAAAAUUACGCUGUUAUCCCUAAGGUAAUUUAAUCUUAUAAUCAAUAUUUAUUGGAUCAAUAAUUCAUUAAUUUAUGUUUAAAUAUAAUAAAAAGUUUAUUAAAUUUUUAUAUCACCCCAAUAAAAUAUAAAUUUAUUAAUAAAAUUAAUUAAUCCAAAUAUUUUAUUAUUAAAAUUAUAUAAAACUCUAUAGGGUCUUCUCGUCUUUCAAAUUAAUUUAAGCUUUUUAACUUAAAAAUAAAUUUCUAAUUAAAUUUAAUAGAGACAGUUAUUUUCUCAUCCAAUCAUUCACUCCAGCUUUUAAUUAAAAAACUAAUUAUUAUGCUACCUUUGCACAGUCAAGAUACUGCGGCCAUUUAAAUAUUUCAGUGGGCAGAUUAAACCUUAAAUUAUAAUCUUAAGGAC